ACUGCUGGCCUGGAAGCCUGGAAGAUGCUGCUGCUGGUGUAAGCGAAGAACUUAGGAUGAAAUUGAUUGGUGGGAAUGGCAGGAGAAGAUUUUUUUGUGAUACAGUGUCAGAAAAGCAAGGAGUUUGGGUCAGACCAGUUACGUCUUUGAAGCUUUCCACGUGUCUGUGUCUUCCUUGGAGCACCUCCCAGUGUUGUCAGGAGGAUUUAGAGAAAACAGCCUGCCCAGUGCUUUUGCUUGACUAGCAGAGACAGCUGGAUAAAGGUUUUAUGGGAGGCGAUGUCGGCAUUCGUAGGGCCUGUGCCUUUUCUGUGACUCAGUGAUGGGCCAGUGGAAACGGCCGUUUCCACAGUUGGACAGAACGAGGUUUGUGUCCUGGUGUUGCUCACAGACGUCUCAACCAGACGGAGUCCGGACUCCACCACGUGGCAAUAACGAGAAGGUAGCUCUCGGGGCGGUGGUGGGUUGAGAUUAGAUACAUGAAGAGGCUGUCCCAAUGUGAGCUGGGUUAUAAACCCAAGAGAGGGGGCAUGGGAGCCGAGGAGGGGACCGCAUCAGAGGCCACCAGGCUGAGUAGGGCGGGCUUUUCACAGGGGCCUGGGUCACGGCUGUGAUAAGCCCCCCGUUGUGGAAUGCAGAAGGCCAUGGUCUCUCAGUGAGUCGGGCAGGGCCAUGGUGCGUGCCCAGGUCUACUUGACUCCAAGUCUUGUGUUCUUUCCCCUGUGGGACCUUCAGGGGUUUUGCAAAUAGAGGUCCCACUCUCCAAGGGCUUCCUGUUGCACUGGGCAGAAGGGAGGGUAGAACCUGCCCAGCUGCGUCCUCUACUCUGAGCCUUUCUCUGCCAUUUCUUCACCAGAUGGCAGCUUCCUGCCUGGGAAUGGAGAACUCGAGUGGCCACCCAGCAUGACAGGCAGCCUCCCCACCCACUUAACCUCAUGGGAGGUCCUGUGAACCCUCCACCUCCAUCUCACGGGGCCUGAAGCCCACAGGGGGAUCCUUAAGCAGUUGGAGUGGGUCCUGGGGCCAGCCCAGGGCUGGCACGGGGUUCGCAUUUCACUUCUGGGCCAUGGCAAGCUCUGGUUCAGAGCCUUAGCUCGGCAGCAGCCCCUCUGCACCAAGUCACUUGGCCCCUGCCACAGCAUCACAGCCUGGAGCCCAACAGGAUGAGCCCAGCUCAUGCUUCUGAAGCACGGCUAUUCUGACAGCCCUGGUCUUGGUGCUCAUCACUUGCUUCUCACUGUGCUUUACAGGCAGAAUGGGGACAAGAGCUUUAAGUUCUAUCAUUGUGAUUCUUUUUUUUCUGCUGCAGUCCCUUAUAUGUAGCCUCCGACCAAAUACAACUUUUGCCUUUGUGCUA
Molecule: long non-coding RNA, 1357 nt
Organism: Homo sapiens (human)
Lineage: Eukaryota; Metazoa; Chordata; Mammalia; Primates; Hominidae
Exons: 2
Source: RefSeq, a predicted model, not a curated record